Molecule: ribosomal RNA, 496 nt
Filed under: uncultured bacterium
Lineage: Bacteria
Description: partial 16S ribosomal RNA
Rfam family: Bacterial small subunit ribosomal RNA
Source: RNAcentral
GAUGAACGCUGGCGGCGUGCCUAAUACAUGCAAGUCGAGCGAACGGACGAGAAGCUUGCUUCUCUGAUGUUAGCGGCGGACGGGUGAGUAACACGUGGAUAACCUACCUAUAAGACUGGGAUAACUUCGGGAAACCGGAGCUAAUACCGGAUAAUAUUUUGAACCGCAUGGUUCAAAAGUGAAAGACGGUCUUGCUGUCACUUAUAGAUGGAUCCGCGCUGCAUUAGCUAGUUGGUAAGGUAACGGCUUACCAAGGCAACGAUGCAUAGCCGACCUGAGAGGGGAACCGGCCAACUGGAAACUGGACACCGUCCCAACUCCCUACGGGGGGAGGAAGUAGGAAAUCUUCCGAAAGGGGCGAAAGCCUGACGGGCCAACGCCGGGGGGGGGAGAAAGGGCUUGGGAUCGUAAAACUUUUUUAUUAGGAAAAAACAUAGGUGUAAGUAACUGUGCAAUUCUUGCAGGAACCAAAUAAGAAAGCCCCGGUAAACUACGG